RNAcentral lists this long non-coding RNA (220 nucleotides) under Elaeis guineensis (African oil palm). Its description in RNAcentral is "long non-coding RNA (EGUI_LNC009955)". The record is from RNAcentral. Lineage: Eukaryota; Viridiplantae; Streptophyta; Magnoliopsida; Arecales; Arecaceae.
AAUCAGUAAAUCCUCGAAUAAGUUACUAUUUAGUAUUUAGACAUCCAAUUGUGCUCAUGAAUCAAGCUGAAUCAAGCAUUUUUUUAAAAAAAAAAUAAAUUGAUGUAUAGACCAGAGAAUUUGUGAGAUGCUAAAGAACCAAGUAUUAAGAAAAUCUAAUAAAGAGUUAAGUUUAGAAUAUAAAUAUUUUUUCUAUGAGUACUUCUAAUUCUUUCUACCA